RNAcentral lists this ribosomal RNA (253 nucleotides) under uncultured prokaryote. RNAcentral describes it as "partial 16S ribosomal RNA". It matches the Rfam family "Bacterial small subunit ribosomal RNA", at positions 525 to 777 of the family's 1533-position model. The record is from RNAcentral.
ACGGGGGGAGCAAGCGUUGUUCGGAUUUACUGGGCGUAAAGGGCGUGUAGGCGGUUCGGUAAGUGGGAUGUGAAAUGCUCCGGCUCACCCGGGGACCUGCAUCCCAAACUGCUGAGCUUGAGUACAGGAGAGGGUGGGGGAAUUCCAGGUGUAGCGGUGAAAUGCGUAGAUAUCUGGAGGAACACCGGUGGCGAAGGCGCCCACCUGGCCUGCUACUGACGCUGAGGCGCGAAAGCUAGGGGAGCAAACGGGA